This is a small nucleolar RNA of Rhinolophus ferrumequinum (greater horseshoe bat), 123 nucleotides long. The record is from Ensembl. Lineage: Eukaryota; Metazoa; Chordata; Mammalia; Chiroptera; Rhinolophidae.
GAGCACUGUUCGUGACCUGUUUACCUGGCUGUGGCUAACGGGUUCCAUUCCAGUGCUAUAGUAGUUCCAGUGACACAUGACUGACUGCCUUGUGGCUCUCAGUUGCAGGUCUUGGGGACAGUU